This is a long non-coding RNA of Rhinopithecus bieti (black snub-nosed monkey), 2561 nucleotides long. The record is from Ensembl. Lineage: Eukaryota; Metazoa; Chordata; Mammalia; Primates; Cercopithecidae.
GCUUGUAAUCCCAGCACUUUGAGAGGCCGAUGCAGGCGGAUCACCUGAGGUCAGGAGUUCGAGACUAGCCUGGCCAACAUGGUGAAACUUUGUCUCUACUAAAAAUACAAAAAUCAGCCAGGCGUGGUGGCGAGUGCCUGUAGUCGCAGCUACUCGGGAGGCUGAGGCAGGAGAAUCGCGUGAACCUGGGAUGCGGAGGUUGCAGUGAGCUGAGAUCAUGCCGCUGCACCCCAGCCUGGGAGACAGAGGGAGACUUGGUCUCAAAAAAAAAAAAAAGAAAAAAAGAAAAGUCCCUAACUAGGUAAGAAAGUAAGGACUCGGUAAGGGAGUAGUUGUGUUUCUUUUUUGUCUUCCACAAAAUACGCUGAGGGAGCUUUGCGCUCCCUCUUCAGACAAUGCUGCUGAGCCAGGCAGGGUGCUGAACCUGCCCUGGUCGGGGGUGGUGCCGUGGAGGGUGCACUUCAGCUUGGAGCACACUCAGGAGAGUUAGUCUGCAGGGAGUGGGCCGGCCUGUUUAUUACCAUUGUUGUCGAGCUCCCAGCACUUGGGUGGGUCAGAAUGCAGGGAGGGAAGCAGCGCCAUUUAUUGUAGUUGUCAGGCUCAGAAGUGAGCAAGACGGAGUUCUUUCCCUAUGGAACUUAUAUUCAGAUCCUGAUGCAGAGGUGUGCCUUCAUGUACUGAGGCUUGUCCAGUCUGUGGUUCUGGAACCUGAAGUCUUCUCCAAGUCGGCCUCUGAGUUCCGGAGCUCCCUGCCCCUGCAACGCAUCCUGGCCAUGUCCAAGAGCCGCAACCCCCGCCUGCAAACCGCAGCCCAGGAGCUCCUGGAAGAUCUCCGCACUCUGCAGCAUAAUGUCCCCAGCAGAUGCAACACUAUAUCACUACCCGCCUCUCCUCUGGACUGGGGACACCAUGCAGGUGGCAGUCACAUCCACCCAGGGGUGCCUCCGAAGGUUUGCAGACUGGACAGACGCAGGACCCUCCAUCCAGCCUCCUGUGGAUUAGAAGGCCUCUCUGUGAUGCCUCUGCACCUGUGUUGGGACCGUGUCCCAGUAGCAUUCAUGCACAUUGGCGCUGACUGAGCCAGGCUGCGGACCAGCUGCACAGCGGCAGCCUGCGGAUGACUCACAGGUGGGCUGAGCCCUGCAGAUGCCCUGGGUGGGCCUCAGGUACGACUUGGACAAGGUCUUCCAACUUCUGCUGGGGGCUUUUUGAGUCUCACCCAAAUUCUCACUCUUCUCACUCUGGGCAGUGUCCCUGUUCUACCCUCGCCCCAUUCUAACCGGGCUUGGGGAGGAGCGGGGAGGCUCCUCUCACAGGGCAGCUUUUGUCCCUCUCUUCUCCCACCCCAGAAGGUGCGCCUGGCACCGCCCACCCUGGCUUCCUUGGUUCUGAGCUUUCAGGGGACACAGACAUGCGGCUGACUUUGUCUGGGCCAUGGGAGCCCCAGGCCAGGCCGCAUCCCUCUCCAGGCUGUGCAGCCACCGUCCCCGCUCUCAGCCGUCAGUCACUACGUGACAGAUGAACAGCAGUUGGAGGCUCAGUGCCCAGGUACAGUGCCCUCCCUUAUCCUCAGGGGAUGCAUUCCGAGACCCCUGGUGGAUGUCUGAAUCCGCAGAUAGUAUUGAACCCUAGAUAGACCAUGUUUUGUCCUGUACAUGCAUACGUGUGAUAAAGUUUAAUUUAUAAAUUAGGCACAGUAAGAGACUAACAACAGUAGCUAAUAAUAGAAUAAUUAGAACAAUAAGCCAGCAUGACUCCUCUUCUGCAUUAGGCUGUUACUAAGUAGGAUAAGGGUUACUUGAACUCAGGUGCUGUGAUACCACGAGACUUGGUCUGAUCAUCAGGGCAGCUACAGCUGGACACGGUGGUGCACACCUGUAAUCCCAGCACUUCAGGAGGCUGAGGUGGGCAGAUCACUUGAGGCCAGGAGUUUGAGACCAGCCUGGCCAACAUGGUGAAACCCCAUCUCUACUAAAAACACAAAAAUUAUCUAGGUGUGGUGGUGCGCACGCCUGUAAUCCCAGCUGCUCUGGAGGCUGAGGCAGGAGACUCACUUGAACCUGGGAGGCGGAGGUUGCAGUGAGCUGAGAUUGUGCCACUGCACUCCAGCCUGGGUACAGAGCAAGACUCCAUCUCAAAAAAAAAAAAAAAAAAAAAAAAAAAAAAAAAAAAAAAAAGACAGCUACAAUGUGACUAGUGGGCAGGUCAAAUAGACACUGUGGAGAUGCUGGACAAUGGAUGCUACACGUCCCGGGUAAGACAGAGCAGGAUGGCAGGGAUUUCAUUCCGCCACUCAGAAUGACGAGCAAUCAAAAACUUGUAAAUUGCUUAUUUUUGGAAUUUUUUACUUAAUAUUUUCAGACUGCAGUUGACCUCAGGACACUGAACCACGGAAAGUGAAACCGUGGAUAAGGGGGAACAAGUGUGCUUCCCAAAGUCACAGUGCGCUUAGAGGAGGCCCUCCUACCCCAUCCUCCUACCCCAUCCUCCCCUCAGACAGAGACUGAGUGUUGUGCAGGUUUCUACUGGGUCCUCUGGGAGGGCAGAGCCUGGGGUGAAGU